UGGNGAACCUGCCCUCUCGUCGGUGGGAUAACCCCGGGAACCGGAACGGCGUAAAUACCGNGUAC
Molecule: ribosomal RNA, 65 nt
Filed under: uncultured bacterium
Lineage: Bacteria
Description: partial 16S ribosomal RNA
Source: RNAcentral